Molecule: ribosomal RNA, 246 nt
Filed under: uncultured bacterium
Lineage: Bacteria
Description: partial 16S ribosomal RNA
Rfam family: Bacterial small subunit ribosomal RNA
Source: RNAcentral
GACAGAGGCCUCGAGCGUUAGGCGGAAUCACUGGGCUUAAAGCGUGUGUAGGCGGAUCGUUAAGUACCUUGUGAAAUCCCACGGCUUAACCGUGGAACUGCUUGGUAUACUGGCGAUCUUGAGCCACUUAGGGGCUACCGGAACAAAUGGUGGAGCGGUGAAAUGCGUAGAUAUCAUUUGGAACGCCAAUGGUGAAAACAGGUAGCUGGGAGUGUGCUGACGCUGAAGCGCGACAGCGUGGGGAGC